GCUGGGGUACCAAAGUGGUUAAUGGGCUGGCCUUGAGAGCCAGUUGGGCUUCUGCCCUGCCUGGGUUCGAAUCCCAGCCCCAGCG
This 85-nucleotide transfer RNA is filed under the name Candidatus Nanoarchaeia archaeon. Its description in RNAcentral is "tRNA-Ser". It matches the Rfam family "tRNA". Rfam says of the family: Transfer RNA (tRNA) molecules are approximately 80 nucleotides in length. Their secondary structure includes four short double-helical elements and three loops (D, anti-codon, and T loops). Further hydrogen bonds mediate the characteristic L-shaped molecular structure. tRNAs have two regions of fundamental functional importance: the anti-codon, which is responsible for specific mRNA codon recognition, and the 3' end, to which the tRNAs corresponding amino acid is attached (by aminoacyl-tRNA synthetases). tRNAs cope with the degeneracy of the genetic code in two manners: having more than one tRNA (with a specific anti-codon) for a particular amino acid; and 'wobble' base-pairing, i.e. permitting non-standard base-pairing at the 3rd anti-codon position. Lineage: Archaea; Nanobdellati; Nanobdellota; Candidatus Nanoarchaeia. RNAcentral also lists the same sequence under 1 other name. The record is from RNAcentral.